GGAACAUGAAAAACACUAGGAAGAGAGAUAGAGGGAAAGGAAAUAAAACUAACUCCUUGAACAGGAACUGAAGCUCCAUUAGCCGUUUCUACCAAAAACUAUGGCCAAAAAAAUUGCCAAGAGAAUGGAAGUCCGAGGAAGAGCCCGUCAUGUGAUGGGAGGCUCCAGAGUUAUUCACCCACGAAGAUGAUGGACGAGAAGUGGAAG
This 207-nucleotide long non-coding RNA is filed under the name Amborella trichopoda. RNAcentral's name for it is "long non-coding RNA (ATRI_LNC001276)". The record is from RNAcentral. Lineage: Eukaryota; Viridiplantae; Streptophyta; Magnoliopsida; Amborellales; Amborellaceae.